GGAAGUAGGCGACCGCGAUUCCCCCCAACUUGCCCAGGGAGCGGGUGUCCAAGCUGGCUGCGCCGGAGACGAGGCUGCACACGACCAGCGGCAGGAUGAUCAUUUUCAGCAUCCGGAGGAGCAUCUCACCCGGGAAGGCAAACACAGAGCAGCGUGGGAAGCUUGAUCCGCGUGUGCUCAACUACAGCGUGCCUUGGACAACGAAGGCUGGAGCCGGCGUGGGGGAUGACGCCUGGCGGUGAUAGCCAAUCGUGUUGAGGGAAACAUGCGCACUAGUAUGCAGACCUUAGCCCGCACGCACAUGAUGCAAGAUGAUGAAGUAUUGCUCGAUUGAUUCUUCUUAUUUGGUUAACAUGCAAUAAUGCUGAUUAUUGAGAGCACCGUUUUAAUGGGGAAAUAUACGAAUGCAACCGCUCGAAUUGGGUCAAUUGUGAGUUAAAUCAGUCACUCUGAGGGGGGCAAGAGCCAUUUAUGCUUCAGGGAGAAGGUGGAAUCAGAGAUUCUUUUUUUUUUUCUAAAGUGGCCAAGAGACGACGCAGGCGUUUAAAUUCAACAGAUAAAUAAUUAAAAGUGUUCUCAAAUGCAUU
Syngnathus acus (greater pipefish) is the source of this 587-nucleotide long non-coding RNA. RefSeq lists it as uncharacterized. The transcript has 2 exons. The record is from RefSeq and is a predicted model, not a curated record. NCBI's taxonomy places the organism in Eukaryota, Metazoa, Chordata, Actinopteri, Syngnathiformes, Syngnathidae.